AUUGAACGCUGGCGGCAUGCCUUACACAUGCAAGUCGAACGGCAGCAUAGGAGCUUGCUCCUGAUGGCGAGUGGCGAACGGGUGAGUAAUAUAUCGGAACGUGCCCUAGAGUGGGGGAUAACUAGUCGAAAGACUAGCUAAUACCGCAUACGAUCUACGGAUGAAAGUGGGGGAUCGCAAGACCUCAUGCUCCUGGAGCGGCCGAUAUCUGACUAGCUAGUUGGCGGGGUAAAAGCCUACCAAGGCAACGAUCAGUAGCUGGUCUGAGAGGACGACCAGCCACACUGGGACUGAGACACGGCCCAGACUCCUACGGGAGGCAGCAGUGGGGAAUUUUGGACAAUGGGGGCAACCCUGAUCCAGCAAUGCCGCGUGAGUGAAGAAGGCCUUCGGGUUGUAAAGCUCUUUUGUCAGGGAAGAAACGGUAGUAGCGAAUAACUACUACUAAUGACGGUACCUGAAGAAUAAGCACCGGCUAACUACGUGCCAGCAGCCGCCGUAA
Molecule: ribosomal RNA, 502 nt
Filed under: uncultured bacterium
Lineage: Bacteria
Description: partial 16S ribosomal RNA
Rfam family: Bacterial small subunit ribosomal RNA
Source: RNAcentral